RNAcentral lists this ribosomal RNA (604 nucleotides) under uncultured fungus. Its description in RNAcentral is "eukaryotic LSU rRNA". The stretch from base 219 to 372 matches the Rfam family "5.8S ribosomal RNA". The record is from RNAcentral. Lineage: Eukaryota; Fungi.
CUUGGUCAUUUAGAGGAAGUAAAAGUCGUAACAAGGUCUCCGUUGGUGAACCAGCGGAGGGAUCAUUACCGAGUUAUACAACUCAUCAACCCUGUGAACAUACCUAAAACGUUGCUUCGGCGGGAACAGACGGCCCUGUAACAACGGGCCGCCCCCGCCAGGGGACCCCUAACUCUGUUUUUAUAAUGUUUUUCUGAGUAAACAAGCAAAUAAAUUAAAACUUUCAACAACGGAUCUCUUGGCUCUGGCAUCGAUGAAGAACGCAGCGAAAUGCGAUAAGUAAUGUGAAUUGCAGAAUUCAGUGAAUCAUCGAAUCUUUGAACGCACAUUGCGCCCGCCAGUAUUCUGGCGGGCAUGCCUGUUCGAGCGUCAUUACAACCCUCAGGCCCCCGGGCCUGGCGUUGGGGAUCGGCGGAAGCCCCCUGUGGGCACACGCCGUCCCUCAAAUACAGUGGCGGUCCCGCCGCAGCUUCCAUUGCGUAGUAGCUAACACCUCGCAACUGGAGAGCGGCGCGGCCAUGCCGUAAAACACCCAACUUCUGAAUGUUGACCUCGAAUCAGGUAGGAAUACCCGCUGAACUUAAGCAUAUCAAUAAGCGGAGGA